Molecule: microRNA precursor, 90 nt
Organism: Microcebus murinus (gray mouse lemur)
Lineage: Eukaryota; Metazoa; Chordata; Mammalia; Primates; Cheirogaleidae
Source: Ensembl
CUCUUGAGGUACCUGAAUUCUCAAAAGCUUUAUGUGUUCUGAAGUUAAUUGAAAAUAAGACCUUUUGGGAAUUCAGGUAGUUCAGGAGUG